GAAAUGCGAUAAGUAAUGUGAAUUGCAGAAUUCAGUGAAUCAUCGAAUCUUUGAACGCACAUCGCGCCCUUUGGCAUUCCGAGGGGCAUGCCUGUUCGAGCGUCAUUACACCAUUCAAGCCUGGCUUGGUAUUGGGCGACGGGGUGAACCCGCGCCCCAAUUUCACCGGCUGGACGACCCGAUUCUCAGCGUCGUGAUUGAAUUCGCUGCCGGAGAGGGUGGCCCGCGCCGUUAAAACUUCAACAAAGGUUGACCUCGGAUCAGGUAGGGAUACCCGCUGAACUUAAGC
Molecule: unclassified non-coding RNA, 289 nt
Filed under: plant metagenome
Description: partial contains 5.8S ribosomal RNA, internal transcribed spacer 2, and large subunit ribosomal RNA
Rfam family: 5.8S ribosomal RNA (bases 1-105)
Source: RNAcentral